Molecule: long non-coding RNA, 1598 nt
Organism: Lolium rigidum
Lineage: Eukaryota; Viridiplantae; Streptophyta; Magnoliopsida; Poales; Poaceae
Exons: 7
Source: RefSeq, a predicted model, not a curated record
CACGCAGCUCACAACUUCCUGCAAUCCGACCACCAGUUGCCGAACUCUCUUUAGGCCACUCAUCCACAAAGAGCGGAAGGCUGAUGGCGGAAAAGUUUGCUUCAAGAGAUUGGACCAUGAGUCUUCUCUGUUUUCAAGAAUGGAGUUGGAAAGACUAGCAUGGAGUCAUGGAGGUAAAGGAAAAUCUCUUUGGAAGUAGUAAUAGGAUAGAUGUCUCACUUGGAAAGAAUUUGAAGAUCGAUUAUCUUCCGGAGAUAGAAAAGAUUCAAAAGGCCACUUCCAUCGUGAAGAAAUGUUGCUACUAUAAUUUCCGUAAGCUUCUGGCCAAAGUUAACACCACUAUUGUUCAUCUUGCCAUUCCACCAUGUUAGAUGUUUCACUGGAAUUUCAUGCUUUAGUAUGGUUGUAAUGUUCGAGACAUGGCAUGGCUGCAGUGCUUUUUUGGGGGAGAGAAGAGACUAGGAAUGAUAAUGAACUUCUUUUAUUAAUUUUUUCUUAACUUCAAAUAGCAUGUGGCAGUUCUUCAGAUAGAUGGAAUGCCCUUAACAAAGAUAAACCAAUCUUAACCAUAUCAAAAACAAAAAAAUACUAUUUGCGAACUUGGCAAUAGGAUCCUUAUUUUGGCUAUCUUAUACAUAGGCUUUAUUCUGUACCUUCUUAACAAGAGACAUGCCAAUAAUGCCAACUUUGUAAGCUUAGUUAAACAGUUGUAAAUAUGUCUGGACUAUUGCUUGUUUAGUGAUUUUCAGCUCCUUGCGGCUGGUUUUGUUAUGGUUUUUUUAACAGGAAAAAACCUCUUGUGGAUAUCUCAAUUUGUAUUCAUAGUACAGAAAGGUUUCAGGUUUUGUCAUCUGUUUUCUUUGAAUGAUCAGGCUGUGUCCUCUUGUAAUGUAAGAUUAUCCAUUUUUUUAUCUCUUAUUUCAGUGUUUACACUCGCAGCUGCAGAAUUUGAUGCGGUAUGUGGUGAUCUCUGGGAUGUUGUGAUGUCAUUUAGGACAGAGUCAAGCCAAAGCUGUGGAUUACCCCAUGAGUACUAUUGACGAAGCUCACAACACCAUCAAGACGUUCACUGGUUGGUCCUUUUUCUCCUUUCUGAAAAAGCGACUCCAAUUUACUUGUGGACCUGAUGAACUAUUCACACAGAUGUUUUAAACCUUUCAUCCUCUAUGGUCCUUUCCAUAUAAUUCAGCGGGAAUUGAGCUCUGUCGUGCUUCAUAAUCCAAUAAUUUAAACAAGGUCAAGUUUUCAUGCAAAUGCUCAACAUUUGCUUGGAUCCGUGCAUCAUCUAUCUGAAACUUAGAUAUUCGUGAGGUACCAGUUUAAUUUUGAUCAAUCUGCUCAUGGUUGGCAGACCAAACCGCAUAGAAUUCUUCGAGAUCAACAUCUAUGUUAGUUCAUCAUGUGGUCCUUCCCUGAACUUCUCUAACGACAAUGCUCUCAUUUGUGGCAUCACAUUCAAAACCAAAACUGCGUACUGCACUAAAGACAAAGAAAGAAAGAUUAACCCUGCUCUUGCAUAAAUGUUUUGUUUUAAUUCUUCACAAAGAUGAGUAUAUCAGUGAAAGGUCCCUAAAUGUAGCAUUCUGCCACCUUUGUGA